RNAcentral lists this ribosomal RNA (234 nucleotides) under Pseudomonas putida. RNAcentral describes it as "partial 16S ribosomal RNA". It matches the Rfam family "Bacterial small subunit ribosomal RNA", at positions 1 to 237 of the family's 1533-position model. The record is from RNAcentral. Lineage: Bacteria; Pseudomonadati; Pseudomonadota; Gammaproteobacteria; Pseudomonadales; Pseudomonadaceae.
GAACUGAAGAGUUUGAUCAUGGCUCAGAUUGAACGCUGGCGGCAGGCCUAACACAUGCAAGUCGAGCGGAUGACGGGAGCUUGCUCCUUGAUUCAGCGGCGGACGGGUGAGUAAUGCCUAGGAAUCUGCCUGGUAGUGGGGGACAACGUUUCGAAAGGAACGCUAAUACCGCAUACGUCCUACGGGAGAAAGCAGGGGACCUUCGGGCCUUGCGCUAUCAGAUGAGCCUAGGUC